This 431-nucleotide unclassified non-coding RNA is filed under the name soil metagenome. RNAcentral's name for it is "partial contains 5.8S ribosomal RNA, internal transcribed spacer 2, and large subunit ribosomal RNA". The stretch from base 1 to 119 matches the Rfam family "5.8S ribosomal RNA", at positions 35 to 154 of the family's 154-position model. The record is from RNAcentral.
GAUGAAGAACGCAGCGAAAUGCGAUACGUAAUGUGAAUUGCAGAAUUCAGUGAAUCAUCGAAUCUUUGAACGCAUAUUGCGCUCUCUGUAUUCCGGAGAGCAUGCUUGUUUGAGUAUCAGUAAACACCUCAACUUCCAUAUCUUUUUUGAAAUGGGAGUUGGACUUGAGUGAUCCCAACGCUUUUCCUCACCGAAAAGUGGCGGGUUACUUGAAAUGCAGGUGCAGCUGGACUUUUCUCUGAGCUAUAAGCAUAUCUAUUUAGUCUGCCUAAAAAACAGAUUAUUACCUUUGCUGCAGCUAACAUAAAGGAGAUUAGUUCUUGUGCUGACUGAUGCAGGAUUCACAAAGACGGCUUCGGCCGACUUUGUAAACUCGAUCUCAAAUCAAGUAAGACUACCCGCUGAACUUAAGCAUAUCAAUAAGCGGAGGA